Long non-coding RNA from Camellia sinensis, 1383 nucleotides. RefSeq lists it as uncharacterized. Lineage: Eukaryota; Viridiplantae; Streptophyta; Magnoliopsida; Ericales; Theaceae. The record is from RefSeq and is a predicted model, not a curated record.
CACCAAGAAAAUAUUAGAAAGAAAAAAAGGAAAGUUUGUCAAAAUACAAACUUUUGGCUUCAAAUGGAUUCUGAAGGGACAUUUUGAGUUGUUAAACGGAGAAGAAAGGGAGAAUAUAGAGGGUUUGAAGGGGAGAUUGGUUCGGCAGCGGCGAGACUUCGACCUGGAACGGUGCUUUCUCUUCGGCGGCGAGACUGGUUCGGCAAUGGUGAUGAUUGAUGGUUCGAAGGGGAAGGGUUUCGUUCUUCUCUUUUCUUCGAUCCGGAAAAAAUCUCAGUUUGAUGCUUGAGUUGAAAUCCUUGCAGCUUGUUCCAAGCCUAACAGCAGAACGAGAUGAUGAAAUUUGGAAGGCUGCUUUAAAUACUAGCAACAGGUUAGAAGAUCCUUGGGGAAUUUUGGGGCUUUAUUGGCAUCAAACUAGAAAGGGUAUGACUCUCUCCUAUUUUCUUUUUCUCAUGUUGUUUUAUUACUUAUGGGGAUCAAAAAGGCAUUGGUAGCAUUAUGUAAUGGGUUUUAUUGGACUAGGAUAUGAUUUUGAAUAUUGAUAUAUUAAUUUGGGAUUUGAUUCCAUAUUUUCUUUCUCUUUUGUUCUUUUGGUGCCACAUCAAGUCAUUUUUUGACUGUUGAUAAGGCUAUGAUCCUUUUGAUAUGUUUCCUGAUUCUCACACAUAUUGGGUAUGGAUCCACUGGUUCAUUGGUCAAAAUUUUGGUCAAAUACCGUGACAAUUUGCUGAAUUGAUUAAGUUAAAUUUUCUUUUUAGUUAAUGAAAUCUUAGUUUCAAAUUCACACCAAUUCAAGGUACCCGAAUUCGAGGCUUGAGGGUUUUGAUUAAGAAUUGGAUUGAAGGUUCGAACCAGGUUCUAAAAUUAGAGCUAAAGCUCAUUUACUCGGUGGUUUGAAUCUUGGUGGGUGAUGAACACAUUUGCAUUUGUAGCUCAUCCGUGUCCUAUUUAGUGAAAUUCUUUUGUGCUUUGAAUUAUUUAAAUCCAAGAAGGAAUUUGUAAUCGUGGAUGAUGAAAUAAAUUUGUGGUCUAAAGGCCACAUUAUUCUAACAAUUAGACUGAUAAUCUUAAUCCCAAAUACAAAAGUUUGGGUAGAACGAUGCCAUUUAAAUACUUAACUAGGAAAUUACUACACAUUAAAUUUUUCUUGAUUUCUACAGUACUUUGAUGGUCCAUUGGACCACCUACUAAAGGUCGUGCACAUUCAGUUCUAUCAAGAACUUGGGCCAUUAAAGAUCACUCUCACAGAGAAAGUAAUUCUCAGCAACUAUAAGAACACCUCCAAAAAGGCCUAAUUUCUGAAUGGGUGAAGCCACCUUAUAUCUAUCUAUCUAUACUAUUAUAAAGUGAACACCUCUUAUGGUGUCAUGAAGCUUUACU